Molecule: ribosomal RNA, 429 nt
Filed under: Actinomycetes bacterium
Lineage: Bacteria; Bacillati; Actinomycetota; Actinomycetes
Description: Actinobacteria bacterium partial 16S ribosomal RNA
Rfam family: Bacterial small subunit ribosomal RNA
Source: RNAcentral
UAGGGAAUCUUCCGCAAUGGGCGAAAGCCUGACGGAGCAACGCCGCGUGAGUGAUGAAGGUCUUCGGAUCGUAAAACUCUGUUAUUAGGGAAGAACAAAUGUGUAAGUAACUAUGCACGUCUUGACGGUACCUAAUCAGAAAGCCACGGCUAACUACGUGCCAGCAGCCGCGGUAAUACGUAGGUGGCAAGCGUUAUCCGGAAUUAUUGGGCGUAAAGCGCGCGUAGGCGGUUUUUUAAGUCUGAUGUGAAAGCCCACGGCUCAACCGUGGAAGGUCAUUGGAAACUGGAAAACUUGAGUGCAGAAGAGGAAAGUGGAAUUCCAUGUGUAGCGGUGAAAUGCGCAGAGAUAUGGAGGAACACCAGUGGCGAAGGCGACUUUCUGGUCUGUAACUGACGCUGAUGUGCGAAAGCGGGGGGAUCAAACAGG